GAUGAAGAACGCAGCGAAAUGCGAUAAGUAGUGUGAAUUGCAGACUUUAGUGAAUCAUCGAAUCUUUGAACGCACAUUGCGCCCCUUGGUAUUCCAUUGGGCAUGCCUGUUCGAGCGUCAUUUACAACCUCAAGCUCCGCUCGGUGUUGGGUGUCUGUCUGCGCUUCUUGCGAAGACUCGCCCUAAAUCUAUUGGCAGCGGCAUCGCCGGCUUCUCGCGCAGUACAAUGCGUUAUGGAAGGCUACCGGCGGGCUUGCGUCCAUCAAGUAACCCCCCAAGUUUGACCUCGAAUCAGGUAGGGAUACCCGCUGAACUUAAGCAUAUCAAUAAGCGGAGGA
This 338-nucleotide unclassified non-coding RNA is filed under the name soil metagenome. RNAcentral's name for it is "partial contains 5.8S ribosomal RNA, internal transcribed spacer 2, and large subunit ribosomal RNA". The stretch from base 1 to 120 matches the Rfam family "5.8S ribosomal RNA", at positions 35 to 154 of the family's 154-position model. The record is from RNAcentral.